CCUACGGGUGGCUGCAGUAACGAAUCUUCCACAAUGCACGAAAGUGUGAUGGAGCGACGCCGCGUGUAGGAUGAAGUUCUUCGGAAUGUAAACUACUGUCAGGGGAAAGAAAGUUCUGAUCUACCCCAGAGGAAGGCACGGCUAACUCUGUGCCAGCAGCCGCGGUAAGACAGAGGUGCCAAGCGUUAGGCGGAAUCACUGGGCUUAAAGCGUGUGUAGGCGGAUUGACAAGUACCUUGUGAAAUCCCACGGCUCAACCGUGGAACUGCUUGGUAUACUGUUGAUCUUGAGCUAUCUAGAGGCAACUGGAACAAACGGUGGAGCGGUGAAAUGCGUAGAUAUCGUUUGGAACGCCAAAGGUGAAAACAGGUUGCUGGGGAUAUUCUGACGCUGAGACACGAAAGCCAGGGGAGCAAACGGGAUUAGAUACCCGUGUAGUC
This 440-nucleotide ribosomal RNA is filed under the name uncultured Planctomycetota bacterium. Its description in RNAcentral is "bacterial SSU rRNA". It matches the Rfam family "Bacterial small subunit ribosomal RNA", at positions 338 to 795 of the family's 1533-position model. The record is from RNAcentral. Lineage: Bacteria; Pseudomonadati; Planctomycetota.